Molecule: transfer RNA, 77 nt
Filed under: Pseudomonadota bacterium
Lineage: Bacteria; Pseudomonadati; Pseudomonadota
Also listed under: 2 other names
Description: tRNA-Arg
Rfam family: tRNA
About the family: Transfer RNA (tRNA) molecules are approximately 80 nucleotides in length. Their secondary structure includes four short double-helical elements and three loops (D, anti-codon, and T loops). Further hydrogen bonds mediate the characteristic L-shaped molecular structure. tRNAs have two regions of fundamental functional importance: the anti-codon, which is responsible for specific mRNA codon recognition, and the 3' end, to which the tRNAs corresponding amino acid is attached (by aminoacyl-tRNA synthetases). tRNAs cope with the degeneracy of the genetic code in two manners: having more than one tRNA (with a specific anti-codon) for a particular amino acid; and 'wobble' base-pairing, i.e. permitting non-standard base-pairing at the 3rd anti-codon position.
Source: RNAcentral
GCGCCUGUAGCUCAGUUGGAUAGAGCGUCGGACUUCGAAUCCGCAGGUCGGGAGUUCGAGUCUCCCCGGGCGCGCCA